Polypterus senegalus (gray bichir) is the source of this 420-nucleotide long non-coding RNA. RefSeq lists it as uncharacterized. The transcript is spliced from 4 exons. NCBI's taxonomy places the organism in Eukaryota, Metazoa, Chordata, Cladistia, Polypteriformes, Polypteridae. The record is from RefSeq and is a predicted model, not a curated record.
GACACAUUUAUUUUCUUUCCUUGCUUUCUGUUGUCCCUGAGAUAUCUGCAGAGAGAUAAAACUGGUGGAUGUCAACUUUAAACUAGGUGCAAAUCCUAUUCCUCCAACAUCCUCCAUUGUGUUGUUUAUGCAUGCUCAGCUCAAACUGCAAGCACAUGAGGCAGAAGCAGAAAGUGCAUCCAGGGGCCAAUGCCAAACCCAUUCUCUCCAGAGCCUGCCCUACCAGAAAGCCCUAACUGUAAUACAAAUGAAUGAAUAAAAUGAUGAGUGCAACAACAGAAGACCAGCCACGGGAAAACUUAUCUGAUUCAGUGCUGAUGAUGCCAGUUCCAGCACCCAGAAAAAGGUCACUUCCGGUUCUGGUGCUCAGAAGAAUGUCACUUCUGGCGCACAGGCUGACGUCAGAAGGACAUCACUUCC